GGGGCUGACCGGAAUUGACGGCAGGAAUUGGGUAUAUACCCGCAGGCCGAGUGUUGUGCGUUACACUCGUAAAUCCCAAUGCAUAAUCUUUAUUUUAAAUGGCGAGAAUAACUUUGCCAUGGCUGCCUAAUCUAAGAGAUUAGUAAGCCUUUGUCCACUCUUUUGACAUCCGAUAAGAAGUUUUGGGCAUCAUAAUAUCGGGUCCUUUUAAGCAGAAGUUUGUUCAGCUGCUGUUAUAAAUUGUAAUAAAUUGAACUAGAAAAACAAUGGCUUUGUAAAGUGUGUAGUUGUUUUUUGAAAUUUUACAUUUUACUAAGCUUGUAGAAAGUAUAUGUACAACUUGACCGGACCAGGGUUCGAAUCCCUGCAGCUCCACUU
This 378-nucleotide transfer-messenger RNA is filed under the name Chitinophagales. RNAcentral describes it as "JACJYS01 sp020635995 Standard tmRNA". It matches the Rfam family "transfer-messenger RNA". From Rfam's summary of the family: Bacterial tmRNA, also known as 10Sa RNA or SsrA, is named for its dual tRNA and mRNA-like properties. Its role is to liberate the mRNA from a stalled ribosome. Lineage: Bacteria; Pseudomonadati; Bacteroidota; Chitinophagia. The record is from RNAcentral. RNAcentral also lists the same sequence under 2 other names.